Molecule: long non-coding RNA, 465 nt
Organism: Lotus japonicus
Lineage: Eukaryota; Viridiplantae; Streptophyta; Magnoliopsida; Fabales; Fabaceae
Exons: 3
Source: RefSeq, a predicted model, not a curated record
GAGCUCUCCUCUCCUCUGCAUUUGUGAAAUUUCCAAGUAUAGACCUAGCUUCAUGGGGCAACCCGAGACUUCUAGGAAAGCGUACCUUUGAGACAACAAGCAUGCGUGCGAUCAGUUGAUAUGCGGCCCUAUACCUGCUUGAUGUGGACGACGACAAGGCUCGAGACAUCAACCGCGCGACCGAUGGUUCAGCUAUGGGAUUGGAGAGAGAAGAGGAUGCGAGACGAUAUGAUGCAAGCGUCGGAGGAGGCCUUGGAGGGCACGCGGCUUAUGAGUCAGGUAUUGAGCGUGAUAAUUGAGUCUGUACUUGGGGGUGAGCUGAGUUUGUUUAUAUGGUUCGAACCUAACCUAGAGAUCUUCUUGUUGUGUUGGCUCGGGGGCGGUCGAACACUAGUUUAUUUUUUUUUGUUUUAAUUUGAAAGAAUCAUUGUACGCUUCCAAAUCUUUCAUUAAUGAAACGAAUUA